RNAcentral lists this ribosomal RNA (460 nucleotides) under uncultured bacterium. Its description in RNAcentral is "partial 16S ribosomal RNA". It matches the Rfam family "Bacterial small subunit ribosomal RNA", at positions 338 to 795 of the family's 1533-position model. The record is from RNAcentral.
CCUACGGGGUGCAGCAGUGAGGAAUAUUGGUCAAUGGACGAGAGUCUGAACCAGCCAAGUAGCGUGAAGGAUGACUGCCCUAUGGGUUGUAAACUUCUUUUAUAUGGGAAUAAAAUGUUCCACGUGUGGGAUUUUGUAUGUACCAUAUGAAUAAGGAUCGGCUAACUCCGUGCCAGCAGCCGCGGUAAUACGGAGGAUCCGAGCGUUAUCCGGAUUUAUUGGGUUUAAAGGGAGCGUAGGUGGAUUGUUAAGUCAGUUGUGAAAGUUUGCGGCUAAACCGUAAAAGUGCAGUUGAAACUGGCAGUCUUGAGUACAGUAGAGGUGGGCGGAAUUCGUGGUGUAGCGGUGAAAUGCUUAGAUAUCACGAAGAACUCCGAUUGCGAAGGCAGUUCACUGGACUGCAACUGACACUGAGGCUCGAAAGUGUGGGUAUCAAACAGGAUUAGAUACCCGGGUAGUC